Non-coding RNA from Ailuropoda melanoleuca (giant panda), 73 nucleotides. NCBI's taxonomy places the organism in Eukaryota, Metazoa, Chordata, Mammalia, Carnivora, Ursidae. The record is from Rfam.
ACCUGGCUGGCUCAGUAGGUAGAGCAUGCGACUCUUGAUCUUGGGGUUGUGAGUUCAAGUCCCAUGUUGAGUG